RNAcentral lists this unclassified non-coding RNA (336 nucleotides) under soil metagenome. RNAcentral describes it as "partial contains 5.8S ribosomal RNA, internal transcribed spacer 2, and large subunit ribosomal RNA". The stretch from base 1 to 120 matches the Rfam family "5.8S ribosomal RNA", at positions 35 to 154 of the family's 154-position model. The record is from RNAcentral.
GAUGAAGAACGUAGCGAAAUGCGAUAAGUAAUGUGAAUUGCAGAAUUCCGUGAAUCAUCGAAUCUUUGAACGCUCAUUGCGCCCCCUGGUAUUCCGGGGGGCAUGCCUGUCCGAGCGUCAUUGCAACCUUCAAGCGCGGCUUGUGUGUUGGGUCUCGUCCCCCGUGGACGGGCCCGAAAGGCAGUGGCGGCGUCCCGACAUGGUGCCCGAGCGUAUGGGAAUCCUCUUCCGCUCGAAUCGGCCCAUGCGGCGCUGGUCGUAACCAAAUUUUUUACCGGUUGACCUCGGAUCAGGUAGGGAUACCCGCUGAACUUAAGCAUAUCAAUAAGCGGAGGA